RNAcentral lists this ribosomal RNA (468 nucleotides) under Globigerinita uvula. RNAcentral describes it as "bacterial SSU rRNA". It matches the Rfam family "Eukaryotic small subunit ribosomal RNA", at positions 1174 to 1467 of the family's 1831-position model. The record is from RNAcentral. Lineage: Eukaryota; Foraminifera; Rotaliida; Globigerinitidae.
GCGUGGAGCAUGUGGCUUAAUUUGACUCAACGCGGGAAAUCUUACCGGGUCCGGACACACUGAGGAUUGACAGGCAAUAUAUGUGACUCUUCGGAGUUUGCAUUGUUAAAUAUGCUAGUCCUUUCAUGAUUAUGUGAUAGGUGGUGCAUGGCCGUUCUUAGUUCGUGGAGUGAUCUGUCUGCUUAAUUGCGUUUCAAAUUACUUAUAAGGUAGCAAUACGCGAUGAAGCUUUCAAUAGUCCUCACGGAUUCACUUGAGUCUCUCGCUUCGCUAUCCUUUCGAAUGCAACGAACGUGACCGCAACCUCUUGUUGCCUUCGUUUAACAUCCUGCAGCUCGCUGUGGGUACUGAGGGCUUCACUCGGUGACUUUGGGCUGAGCAAUCGGUCUCUUUUGAUCUGAGUAAACUAGAGGGACCGCUGUCAACUUCUUAAACCAGAGGAAGGUUGCGGCAAUAACAGGUCUGUGA